UUGGAGGGCAAGUCUGGUGCCAGCAGCCGCGGUAAUUCCAGCUCCAAUAGCGUAUAUUAAAGUUGUUGCAGUUAAAAAGCUCGUAGUUGAAUUUCGGGGUUAGUAGAUUGGUCAUGCCACUGGUAUGUACUGGUCUUACUGGCUCCUCCUUCCUGAUGAACCGUAAUGCCAUUAAUUUGGUGUUGCGGGGAAUCUGGACUGUUACUUUGAAAAAAUUAGAGUGUUUAAAGCAGGCUAACGCUUGAAUACAUUAGCAUGGAAUAAUGAAAUAGGACGUUCGAUCCUAUUUUGUUGGUUUCUAGGAUUGACGUAAUGAUUAAUAGGGAUAGUUGGGGGCAUUAGUAUUCAAUUGUCAGAGGUGAAAUUCUUGGAUUUAUUGAAGACUAACUACUGCGAAAGCAUUUGCCAAGGAUGUUUUCAUUAAUCAAGAACGAAAGUUAGGGGAUCGAAGACGAUCAGAUACCGUCGUAGUCUUAACCAUAAACUAUGCCGACUAGGGAUCGGAUGAUGUUAAUUUUUUAAUGACUCAUUCGGCGCCUUACGGGAAAC
Molecule: ribosomal RNA, 549 nt
Filed under: uncultured Glomus
Lineage: Eukaryota; Fungi; Glomeromycota; Glomeromycetes; Glomerales; Glomeraceae
Description: SSU rRNA
Rfam family: Eukaryotic small subunit ribosomal RNA
Source: RNAcentral